Molecule: ribosomal RNA, 645 nt
Filed under: uncultured bacterium
Lineage: Bacteria
Description: bacterial SSU rRNA
Rfam family: Bacterial small subunit ribosomal RNA
Source: RNAcentral
AGGGUUUGAUCAUGGCUCAGAAUGAACGCUGGCGGCAUGGAUUAGGCAUGCAAGUCGAACGCUCUCUUCGGAGAGAGUGGCGAAAGGGUGAGUAACGCGUGAAUAAUCUACCCUCAAGUUUGGAAUAACUGUUGGAAACGACAGCUAAUACCGGAUGUGAAUACUAAGAUGCAUGUUUUAGUAUUUAAAGGUUUACUGCUUGAGGAUGAGUUCGCGUCCCAUUAUGCUAGUUGGCGAGGUAAAAGCUCCCCAAGGCUAUGACGGGUAGGUGGUCUGAGAGGAUGGUCACCCACACUGGGACUGAGAUACUGCCCAGACUCCUGCGGGAGGCUGCAGUCGAGAAUCUUCCGCAAUGCGCGAAAGCGUGACGGAGCAAUGCCGCGUGAGGGAUGAAGGCUUUCGGGUCGUAAACCUCUGUCAGGGGGGAAAAAUAUUGAUUGUACCCCCAGAGGAAGCCACGGCUAACUACGUGCCAGCAGCCGCGGUAAUACGUAGGUGGCGAGCGUUAUUCGGAUUUAUUGGGCGUAAAGGGUCCGUAGGGGGAUUGCUAAGUCAGGUGUGAAAUUUCGGGGCUCAACCCCGAACCUGCACUUGAAACUGGCAAUCUAGAAUCCGGUAGAGGUAAGUGGAAUUUGUGGUGUAGCG